Molecule: non-coding RNA, 84 nt
Organism: Petromyzon marinus (sea lamprey)
Lineage: Eukaryota; Metazoa; Chordata; Hyperoartia; Petromyzontiformes; Petromyzontidae
Source: the annotation of a RefSeq genome assembly
GUCAGGAUGGCCGAGCGAUCUAAGGCGCUGCGUUGCGAUCGCAGUCUCCCCUGGAAGGCGUGGGUCCGAAUCCCACUUCUGACA